AUGGUCGUCUGCAAAUGCCGCAAGGCGACGAGGGUUUAUUGCUUCGUCCACCAGGUUCCGGUCUGCGGCGAGUGCAUCUGCUUCCCAGAACAUCAAUUAUGCGUGGUAAAAAACUAUGCUGAAUGGGUUGUUAAUUCUGAUUAUGACUGGCCACAACACUGCUCUUUGUGUAAUUUGGUUCUAGAAGCUGCAAGCGAAGAAACUACACGAUUGGGUUGCCUCCAUGUGAUGCACACAAAAUGCUUGAUAUCACAUGUCCAAAGUUUUCCGGCACAAACAGCACCAGCAGGAUUUGUCUGCCCCUCAUGUUCAAUUCCUAUAUGGCCUCCUUCGAGUAUUAAAGAUACAGGCUCCCGCCUCCAUGCUAAACUGAAGGAAGCAGUAGUCCAGACUGGUCUGGAGAAGAAUGUAUUUGGGAAUCAUUUUGUGACAAUGCCUAAAGCUGAUGCCCGCACACCCCCUGCAUUUGCUUCAGACCCCCUUAAGCGUCUAUCAUAUUCUGGUGAAUCUACUGAUGCAAACAUGCUUAACUCUUCGAAAGAUGCAACUUUAUCAUCAGCGGUACUCUCCCAGGGGGAUACAUAUCCUGCUGGGAUGUACUCUUCUGGGACUCUUAGUCAUGUGGAACCAGAAAUAGUUGAAAUAGAUGGUCCUAGUACCAUAGCAACAAAGUUCCCAGAGCAGGAGCCCAAUUUCAUCAGAAGUCCAAGCCCGCACGGGCCUAGUGCCACGACAAGAAAAGGUGCUAACUAUGUUGAGAGACAAAAUUCAGAGAUGUCUUAUUAUGCUGAUGAUGAAGAUGCAAACCGCAAAAAGUACACUAAAAGGGGUACAUACCGUCACAAAUUUUUAAGGAUGCUGCUACCUUUUUGGUCUAGUGCACUGCCAACAUUACCAGUUACAGCACCCCCUAAAAAGGAAAAUGAUGCUCCAGAAGGCCGGUCACGACAUCAGAGGACAUCCCGAAUCGAUCCCACAAAGAUCUUACUUGCAAUGGCAAUCAUGGCAUGUAUAGCAACGAUGGGAAUUCUCUACUACCGAUUGUCACAGCGCAGUCUUUCUGAAAACUUUGCCGAUGAUGAGGCUCAGUAG
RNAcentral lists this ribosomal RNA (1092 nucleotides) under Triticum aestivum (bread wheat). Its description in RNAcentral is "partial small subunit ribosomal RNA". The record is from RNAcentral. Lineage: Eukaryota; Viridiplantae; Streptophyta; Magnoliopsida; Poales; Poaceae.